AUGAUGCUUGGGAGAAAGCAGAGUUUGAAGGGUGACCAGAUUUUGGCUGACUACGGCCCGGAGGAAUCUCUCAACGAAAGCGCCGACAUAGAAUGGGUCAACAAGCGAUGGGUACGACGGAUGAUGAGAUCAUGUGCUCUUGUGAGCCUUGUCUCAGUCAGUUUGAACACACCAAAGACCUUCGAAUGUCUCCCACCACUCCAAUACAUCACAUUUUGCUCAGACCUAGUCAUCACUUUUCUCUUCACAACGGAGAUGAUUGCCAAAAUGCACAUAAGAGGCAUUUUAAAGGGAGAAGUGCCUUACCUAAAAGACCAUUGGUGCCAAUUUGAUGCAAGCAUGGUGUUCUUCCUCUGGGUCUCUGUCAUCCUGCAAAUGUUCGAGUUGCUUGGUAUCGUGCCGACAUUCAGCUACCUGUCAAUCUUGAGGGCACCUCGACCACUUAUAAUGAUAAGAUUCAUCAGAGUGUUUCUCAAGUUUUCUAUGCCUAAAUCUAGAAUAAAUCAGAUUUUCAAACGUUCGAGCCAGCAGAUCUACAAUGUUACAUUAUUUUUUUUAUUUUUUAUGUCACUUUACGGUCUUCUUGGAGUCCAAUUUUUUGGCGAAUUGAAAAAUCAUUGUGUUCUUAACACCACUCUUCCUGAUAGGAUAAGUAUAAACAGUUUGGCCAUCCCUGAUACAUUUUGCUCAACAGACCCUGAUUCAGGGUACCAGUGUCCAGCAGGCAUGAAAUGUAUGAAACUCGAACUAGAUAAAUACACCAUGGGGUUCAACGGUUUUGAUGAAUUUGCAACGAGCAUAUUUACAGUAUAUCAGGCAGCAUCACAAGAAGGAUGGGUGUUUAUCAUGUACAGGGCAAUAGAUAGUCUGCCUGGCUGGAGAGCUGUGUUCUACUUCAGCACCAUGAUUUUCUUUCUAGCCUGGCUUGUGAAGAACGUUUUCAUUGCUGUGAUAACAGAAACGUUCAAUGAGAUUAGAGUGCAGUUUCAGCAAAUGUGGGGCAUUCGUGGACAUAUGACAAAUAAAUCUGCAUCCCAGAUUUUGACAGGAGAUGAUAUGGGGUGGAAAUUAGUUACUCUUGAUGAGAAUAAAUACAGUGGCCUCGCUCCACCAAUUUGCCAGACGAUUCUAAGAAGUGCAUCAUUCCGACUGUUAAUGAUGGGAAUUAUCCUCGCAAAUGGAAUUGUCACAGCGACAAUGCAUUUUAAACAUGAUGGAAGGCCUAGGCAUACAUUUUAUGAAAACUACUAUUGGGCAGAAGUUGCUUUCACAAUAGUUUUAAACCUAGAAGCAAUUUUUAAAAUAUGGUGCCUUGGCUUCCGUGGAUACUUCAACCAGUCUUACCAUAAGUUCGAACUCCUCCUGAGCAUUGGGACGACACUACACAUAAUUCCGUCCCUUUAUUUGUCUCCAUUGACCUACUUUCAGGUCCUAAGGAUUUUGAGACUUGUAAAAGCUUCCCCGAUGCUGGAGGAUUUUGUCUACAAGAUCUUCGGGCCUGGGAAAAAACUCGGGAGCCUUAUAAUAUUCACCAUGUGCCUUUUGAUAAUUUCUUCCAGCAUUUCUAUGCAGUUGUUUUGCUUUCUAGCUGACUUUACAAAAUUUGAAAACUUUCCGGAGGCAUUCAUGUCUAUGUUUCAAAUCUUGACACAAGAAGCCUGGGUAGAAGUUAUGGACGAGACAAUGCUAAGGACAAACCAAACCUUAGCGCCUCUUGUUGCCAUUUAUUUCAUACUUUAUCAUCUUUUUGUCACAUUGAUUGUGCUCAGCUUGUUCGUAGCAGUCAUCUUAGAUAAUCUUGAACUCGACGAAGAGCUGAAAAAAUUAAAGCAAUUAAAAUUCAGAGAACAGAGUGCAGAAAUCAAAGAAACUCUUCCGUUCAGGCUUAGAGUGUUUGAGAAAUUUCCUGACAGCCCUCAGAUGACAGUAUUACACAAAGUCUCCUCAGACUUUAUCCUACCAAAGGUCAGAGAGAGCUUCAUGCGACAGUUUGUGGUCGAAGUGGAAGAGGAUGAAAAUGACAGCUUGAAAAAACUCUGUGAGCCGUACAACUCGAAGAUAGUCUACAGGAAGCAAAGAUCAGUGAAGCUCCUAAGUCAGCUCAUAAAAGUUCGAUAUGUCAGCAUAGAACUUAAAAAGGCCGCUGUCACAAAUAUCAUCAAUGAUUCAAACAACCAGAGGCUCAUGCUAGGAGAUUCAGCAGUGAUUCCAGUACCAGGGAAAGGAGCUCUGCAUUCUCAAGGCACGAUCAAUUCAGCGAAACAGCUUCGCCUGGACCAAAAAAAUUGUUUGAAUCGCUCUAUUCGCCGAAGUGUGAGAAGCGGAUCCAUCAAGCUGAAACAGACUUACGAACACCUCAUGGAGAACGGAGACAUCGGUGCAAUGAAUCGAAUGAGCUCCUCACGCAACCGACCCCACGACCUCGAUAUUAAACUCCUUCAGGCUAAACGGCAACAAGCAGAAAUGAGAAGAAACCAGAGGGAGGAAGAUCUUAGAGAGAACCAUCCGCUCUUUGACACACCGCUGUUCAUAGUCCCAAGGGAAUCUAAAUUUAGGAAGGCUUGCCAAAUGAUAGUCUACGCAAGGUACGAUGCCAGGCUUAGAGAUCCACUUACUGGCAAAGAGAGGAAGGUCAAAUAUAAACGAUUACACAAUUUUCUCAGCCUUGUCACUUAUUUGGACUGGGUUAUGAUAAACGUCACCACACUAUCGUGCAUCUCGAUGAUGUUUGAGACUCCUACAUACCGGGUCAUGUCCACAUCUGUACUUCAGAUUGCCGAAUAUGUUUUUGUAAUUAUGAUGAGCUUGGAGCUCACAUUGAAAAUUCUUGCAGAUGGAAUAUUUUUUACUCCGAAGGCUUACAUGAAAGAUGUAGCUUCAAUACUCGAUGUGUUCAUAUUUGUUACAAGUCUGAUAUUUUUGUGUUGGAUGCCAAAAAACGUCCCCGCAAAUUCUGGAGCACAGUUGCUUAUGAUUUUACGUUGUGUUAGACCGCUCAGGAUCUUCACGCUUGUUCCUCACAUGAGAAAAGUUGUCGAUGAACUCUGCAGAGGGUUCAAGGAAAUAUUAUUGGUAUCAAUCCUCUUGAUAGUGUUGAUGUUUGUGUUUGCAAGUUAUGGCGUGCAACUUUUUGGUGGUAGGCUUGCAAGAUGCAAUGAUCCUAAUAUUACCCUGAGGGAGGACUGCGUUGGUACCUUCGAAAGAAGAGUUUUUGUUACAAAGAUGAAAAUCAGGGAAAACAACGGGGAAAGCUAUCCUUCUAUUGUUGUGCCACGCGUUUGGGCAAACCCGAGACGAUUCAACUUUGAUAACAUCGGAUAUGCGAUGCUCGCCCUGUUCGAAGUUUUGUCGUUCAAGGGCUGGUUGGACGUACGUGACAUCCUCAUCAAAGCUCUGGGCCCUGUUCACGCUAUUUACAUUCACAUUUAUAUUUUCCUUGGAUGUAUGAUCGGCCUCACUUUGUUUGUGGGUGUUGUAAUUGCAAAUUAUUCGGAAAAUAAAGGGACAGCUUUACUUACAGUUGACCAAAGAAGAUGGUGUGAUUUGAAAAAGAGAUUGAAAAUUGCUCAACCACUACACCUGCCACCGCGGCCUGACGGAAGAAGGUUUAGGGCUUCCAUAUAUGACAUUACUCAGAACAUAUACUUCAAGAGGUUCAUCGCAGGAAUGGUUUUAAUAAACAGCAGCCUCCUAUGUGUCUCAUGGAGAGAAGAGGAAGGCCAUACCGGUCCACUUGCCUUGGUCAGUACAGCACUGACUUUAGUCUUUGUUGUCGAAGUCGUAAUGAAAAAUAUUGCAUUUACACCACGAGGAUAUUGGCAGUCCAGAAGGAAUCGCUAUGAUCUUUUUGUCACCGUACUAGGUGUUUGCUGGAUAUUUAUAAACUCUACAUUCCAGAACAAUUUAUCAUACACUGUCGGGUACAUUGUUGUUAUACUGCGUUUCUUCACGAUAACUGGAAAACAUGCGACACUCAAGAUGCUCAUGUUGACGGUCGGCGUGUCAGUGUGCAAGAGUUUCUUCAUCAUAUUCGGAAUGUUCCUGUUGGUGUUUUUCUACGCCUUGGCUGGAACCAUACUUUUUGGGACUGUCAAAUAUGGAGAAGGCAUCGGAAGGAGGGCUAAUUUUGAGUCACCAGUGACUGGAGUGGCCAUGCUUUUUCGUAUUGUAACUGGAGAGGAUUGGAACAAAAUCAUGCACGAUUGCAUGAUCCAGCCUCCUCAUUGUACACCUGCUGACAACUAUUGGGAGACAGAUUGUGGAAACACUGUCGCAUCAUUGAUUUAUUUUUGUUCAUUUUAUGUCAUCAUAACAUAUAUCGUUCUUAACUUACUAGUGGCUAUUAUUAUGGAGAACUUUUCAUUGUUCUACUCCAAUGAAGAAGAUGCACUUUUAUCUUAUGCAGAUAUAAGGAAUUUCCAGAAUACCUGGAAUGUUGUUGAUAUCCAUCAGAGGGGUGUAAUUCCAGUAAAACGAGUGAGGUUCAUACUCCGACUUUUACGAGGAAGGCUUGAAGUUGACCCACAAAAGGACAGAUUGCUUUUUAAGCACAUGUGCUACGAGUUGGAGAGACUACAUAACGGGGAGGAUGUGACAUUUCAUGAUGUUUUAAACAUGCUGUCGUACCGCUCAGUUGACAUAAGGAAAGCACUCCAGCUCGAAGAGCUUCUUGCUAGGGAAGAAUUUGAGUACAUAAUUGAAGAAGAAGUGGCCAAGCAGACUAUAAGGACGUGGCUGGAGGGGUGUUUAAAGAAAAUUCGAGCUACGAGUGGGAAGCAGCAAAACAGCCUCAUUGCAGGAUUGAGAGCCACCAAUGAACUCAAUGUUCAACAGGACUUGCAAGAGGAUAAGGCUAAAGAGAAUAAUGUUGACAAAGAGAAUGACGUUGAACAAAAGCAUGAAAAACCAUCGCAUAUGCUCACUGAAAACAAAGGAUUAAAGUGCGAAAAGGUAGUAAGGAAUUUGCAUGUAUUAGAUGAGAAUCUGUCGUUCAAGAUGCUGUUGCAAAGCCUGUUUACAUAUUUGCAAAUGUUUAUAUCAUUUAUCAAAACAAUUAUUCAAGGGCCACCUCAACCCUUAUACCCAAUUCGAGGCUGAGGGGGCGAGGGUGAGAAUGAAACCGAAGGCGAGCACUGCAAUCCCAAGGUCUGACAGUGUCGGCAGUAGCUCAGGGCGUAAAUACUUGGCUCCAACACUGUCAGACCCGACAAGAUCUGACAAGGAGAAGGCCAAGAACAGCAAAAGAAACAGGGCACCAGUCGAGGGUAACGAUGUACAAAAAGUACAGCAAAGGGAAGUCAAUAGUAAACCUCAUCCGAAAGUCUCGAGUAUCACUGUGGAAGUUAGGGACUGGUGGUCAGAACAAAUUGGACACAACUCGGACUCAAGCGAGGAAGAAUGAUCCAAUUUUGGCCUAUUUGUUAUAAACGAUGGUUUGCUAAUAAAAAAACAUAAAAAAAAUUAUAUACAAUAGAAAAUUGUA
Cimex lectularius (bed bug) is the source of this 5482-nucleotide RNA transcript. It is a transcript of the gene named sodium leak channel non-selective protein, with no coding region annotated. NCBI's taxonomy places the organism in Eukaryota, Metazoa, Arthropoda, Insecta, Hemiptera, Cimicidae. The record is from RefSeq and is a predicted model, not a curated record. The transcript has 32 exons.